Molecule: ribosomal RNA, 243 nt
Filed under: Staphylococcus aureus
Lineage: Bacteria; Bacillati; Bacillota; Bacilli; Caryophanales; Staphylococcaceae
Description: partial 23S ribosomal RNA
Rfam family: Bacterial large subunit ribosomal RNA
Source: RNAcentral
UGGAGCGCUUAGAAGUGAGAAUGCCGGUGUGAGUAGCGAAAGACGGGUGAGAAUCCCGUCCACCGAUUGACUAAGGUUUCCAGAGGAAGGCUCGUCCGCUCUGGGUUAGUCGGGUCCUAAGCUGAGGCCGACAGGCGUAGGCGAUGGAUAACAGGUUGAUAUUCCUGUACCACCUAUAAUCGUUUUAAUCGAUGGGGGGACGCAGUAGGAUAGGCGAAGCGUGCGAUUGGAUUGCACGUCUAA